Molecule: small RNA, 84 nt
Filed under: Flavobacterium caeni
Lineage: Bacteria; Pseudomonadati; Bacteroidota; Flavobacteriia; Flavobacteriales; Flavobacteriaceae
Description: Flavo-1 RNA
Rfam family: Flavo-1 RNA
Source: Rfam by way of RNAcentral
GCAUAGCCCCGAUGGCAGUGAAAAUCCUUUUUGAACUUGCGAUCAGCAAGUUCAAAAAGAUUGCAACGUACAGCGGGAAAAAGC